Microcebus murinus (gray mouse lemur) is the source of this 540-nucleotide non-coding RNA. NCBI's taxonomy places the organism in Eukaryota, Metazoa, Chordata, Mammalia, Primates, Cheirogaleidae. The record is from RefSeq and is a predicted model, not a curated record.
GACCAGGCUAUCACAGAAAAUUAAUAUGUUUUGAGCGAGAAGGCGCAAAACUGAGCGAUCUUUGAGCCACUGUUUAGAGGCUGAAAUAACGCCCGGUUGGCCAAACUAUAGUUGCGAAGCUGGAUGAAAUACAAAACAAAAAGGAUGCUGCAGAACUCCCCACGAAGCAAGUUCUUCCAGUGUCCCGAAACGGUGGAAGCGGGUCGCUCGAUCCUGACUCUGGGGAAAUGCUGAAAAGGGAAGAAAAUUUAAUUGGGGGACAAGAAGUGGGAUGCAAACCUGUAUUCAUAAAUCUUGCUGUCUGAGGUGCAGCAAGCCACUAAUCUCUUGGCAGGAGUUGCGAGGCAUAGCAAUUAUUUACUGUACAGAAAGGCCGUCGGUGUAUCUUGCAUGAAUCCUGCUUAAUCUCCAAGUGUCUUUAUUCCGUGUGUUCACCCUCAGGACCUACAAAUAUCUACCCUGUAUACCUUCCCACCUUUCUACAAACUUACAAAAUGUUCCAUUGUCAUUUCAAAUAGAAGCUAAUAAUACAUGGGUUCA